RNAcentral lists this ribosomal RNA (459 nucleotides) under uncultured bacterium. RNAcentral describes it as "partial 16S ribosomal RNA". It matches the Rfam family "Bacterial small subunit ribosomal RNA", at positions 338 to 795 of the family's 1533-position model. The record is from RNAcentral.
CCUACGGGAGGCUGCAGUGAGGAAUAUUGGUCAAUGGCCGGGAGGCUGAACCAGCCAAGUCGCGUGAGGGAAGACGGCCCUACGGGUUGUAAACCUCUUUUGUCAGGGAGCAAGGUGCAGGUCGGGACCUGCUGUGAGAGUACCUGAAGAAAAAGCAUCGGCUAACUCCGUGCCAGCAGCCGCGGUAAUACGGAGGAUGCGAGCUUUAUCCGGAUUUAUUGGGUUUAAAGGGUGCGCAGGCGGAGGCACAAGUCAGCGGUACAAUCGCGGGGCUCAACCCCGCUCCGCCGUUGAAACUGUGUGCCUUGAGUGCGCGAAGGGUAGGCGGAAUGCGUGGUGUAGCGGUGAAAUGCAUAGAUAUCACGCAGAACUCCGAUCGCGAAGGCAGCCUACCGGCGCGCAACUGACGCUCAUGCACGAAAGCGUGGGUAUCGAACAGGAUUAGAUACCCGAGUAGUC